RNAcentral lists this ribosomal RNA (253 nucleotides) under uncultured bacterium. Its description in RNAcentral is "partial 16S ribosomal RNA". It matches the Rfam family "Bacterial small subunit ribosomal RNA", at positions 524 to 776 of the family's 1533-position model. The record is from RNAcentral.
UACGUAGGGUGCGAGCGUUGUCCGGAAUUAUUGGGCGUAAAGAGCUCGUAGGCGGCUUGUCACGUCGGUUGUGAAAGCCCGGGGCUUAACCCCGGGUCUGCAGUCGAUACGGGCAGGCUAGAGUUCGGUAGGGGAGAUCGGAAUUCCUGGUGUAGCGGUGAAAUGCGCAGAUAUCAGGAGGAACACCGGUGGCGAAGGCGGAUCUCUGGGCCGAUACUGACGCUGAGGAGCGAAAGCUAGGGUAGCAAACGGG